RNAcentral lists this transfer RNA (71 nucleotides) under Aquilonastra minor. Its description in RNAcentral is "tRNA-Ala". It matches the Rfam family "tRNA". From Rfam's summary of the family: Transfer RNA (tRNA) molecules are approximately 80 nucleotides in length. Their secondary structure includes four short double-helical elements and three loops (D, anti-codon, and T loops). Further hydrogen bonds mediate the characteristic L-shaped molecular structure. tRNAs have two regions of fundamental functional importance: the anti-codon, which is responsible for specific mRNA codon recognition, and the 3' end, to which the tRNAs corresponding amino acid is attached (by aminoacyl-tRNA synthetases). tRNAs cope with the degeneracy of the genetic code in two manners: having more than one tRNA (with a specific anti-codon) for a particular amino acid; and 'wobble' base-pairing, i.e. permitting non-standard base-pairing at the 3rd anti-codon position. Lineage: Eukaryota; Metazoa; Echinodermata; Asteroidea; Valvatida; Asterinidae. The record is from RNAcentral.
GUAGAUUUAGUCAAAAGAAAAGACAUUUGAUUUGCAAUCAAAAGAUCUAAGUUUAACCCUUAGAAUCCACA